UAGAGUUGAGUUUGAUGUUAAACGUGUGUUGUCAAAAUUUUUAAAAUUCUUUGUUCAAAUUAAUUUUUAAUCGUGAUCCUUGAAUUUAUUUUUGAAAAGCCAUGCAUCUGCAUUCGGUUUUUAAAUUAAUAUUUUUCUAACUUGUUUUAUUUUUCUGUUUUUUUUCAGCUCUAAGUUUUACGAUGUUUUUUUAGUUUGUUUUUUUU
Molecule: long non-coding RNA, 206 nt
Filed under: Gossypium raimondii (Peruvian cotton)
Lineage: Eukaryota; Viridiplantae; Streptophyta; Magnoliopsida; Malvales; Malvaceae
Description: long non-coding RNA (GRAI_LNC004577)
Source: RNAcentral